AGAGUUUGAUCCUGGCUCAGAACGAACGCUGGCGGCGUGCUUAACACAUGCAAGUCGAACGCGAAAAUUUUCCUCGGAAAGUGAGUAGAGUGGCGCACGGGUGAGUAACGCGUAAGUUAUCUACCUCGGCAUCCGGAAUAACUCACCGAAGGGUGUGCUAAUACCGGAUACGUUGAGUAAUCAAGAAAGGUGGCCUCUGAAUAUGCUACUGUGCUGAGAUGAGCUUGCGUACCAUUAGCUAGUUGGUAGGGUAAUGGCCUACCAAGGCAACGAUGGUUAGCGGGUCUGAGAGGAUGAUCCGCCACACUGGAACUGAAACACGGACCAGACUCCUACGGGAGGCAGCAGUGGGGAAUUUUGCGCAAUGGGGGAAACCCUGACGCAGCAACGCCGCGUGAGUGAUGAAGGCUUUCGGGUCGUAAAGCUCUGUCAGAGGGGAAGAAAUGAGUCUGGCUAAUAUCCAGAUUUCUUGACGGUACCCUCAAAGGAAGCACCGGCUAACUCCGUGCCAGCAGCCGCGGUAAUACGGAGGGUGCAAGCGUUGUUCGGAUUUAUUGGGCGUAAAGCGCGUGUAGGCGGUUUUUUAAGUCUGAUGUGAAAGCCCUGGGCUCAACCCAGGAAGUGCAUUGGAUACUGGAAGACUUGAAUACGGGAGAGGGUAGUGGAAUUCCUAGUGUAGGAGUGAAAUCCGUAGAUAUUAGGAGGAACACCGGUGGCGAAGGCGGCUACCUGGACCGAUAUUGACGCUGAGACGCGAAAGCGUGGGGAGCAAACAGGAUUAGAUACCCUGGUAGUCC
RNAcentral lists this ribosomal RNA (797 nucleotides) under uncultured bacterium. RNAcentral describes it as "bacterial SSU rRNA". It matches the Rfam family "Bacterial small subunit ribosomal RNA", at positions 8 to 796 of the family's 1533-position model. The record is from RNAcentral.